This 354-nucleotide ribosomal RNA is filed under the name bacterium LimA-100-A-399. RNAcentral's name for it is "bacterial SSU rRNA". It matches the Rfam family "Bacterial small subunit ribosomal RNA", at positions 289 to 655 of the family's 1533-position model. The record is from RNAcentral.
GGCCUGAGAGGGUGACCGGCCACACUGGGACUGAGACACGGCCCAGACUCCUACGGGAGGCAGCAGUGGGGAAUAUUGCACAAUGGGCGAAAGCCUGAUGCAGCGACGCCGCGUGAGGGAUGACGGCCUUCGGGUUGUAAACCUCUUUCAGUAGGGAAGAAGCGAAAGUGACGGUACCUGCAGAAGAAGCGCCGGCUAACUACGUGCCAGCAGCCGCUGUAAUACGUAGGGCGCAAGCGUUAUCCGGAAUUAUUGGGCGUAAAGAGCUCGUAGGCGGUUUGUCGCGUCUGCUGUGAAAGGCCAGGGCUCAACCCUGGUUCUGCAGUGGGUACGGGCAGACUUGAGUGAUGUAGG